Molecule: small nuclear RNA, 136 nt
Organism: Lemur catta (Ring-tailed lemur)
Lineage: Eukaryota; Metazoa; Chordata; Mammalia; Primates; Lemuridae
Product: U4 spliceosomal RNA
Exons: 1
Source: RefSeq, a predicted model, not a curated record
AGCUUUGCAUAAUGCAGUGUUGUAGCCAAUGAAGUUUAUCUGAGGUGCCAUUAUUGCUAACUGAAAACUUUUUGCAAUAGCCCACAGUGACAGCUUGCAACAUAGUGUUGGCAAUUUUUAAGAGUCUCUAUGGAGA